AUGUGUGUCCCUGAUCUUAGCAUUCUUAGGAGUGUUGUGUUAGGAGACCAAUCUUAUCAUAUGGGAGCCAUUGUAGCUCGUAGGUUGCAUCAUAAUAGACAUAAUGGAGAUUUCUUUGGAGGAAUUUUUGCAACCCGCUUAGCUCAUUUUCUUGAGAUAGACAUUCGUGAGAGUGAUACGGAGUUGCCUCCUGCAUAUUUAGAUUAUAACUCUAUGGCUUCGCACCAGUUUGUCGAGAGGCCUGAAUCAACUCUCUUAUAUCGUUUAAUUUUUGAUAAACGACGUGUCUUCCGUAUUACUCUCCCUGCUCCUGCCUUCUUUGAUUCACAGGCAAAAGGAAGAUAUGUUAUUACCAGAGAGGAGGCAUAA
Molecule: ribosomal RNA, 369 nt
Filed under: Triticum aestivum (bread wheat)
Lineage: Eukaryota; Viridiplantae; Streptophyta; Magnoliopsida; Poales; Poaceae
Description: partial small subunit ribosomal RNA
Source: RNAcentral